This 71-nucleotide transfer RNA is filed under the name Bipes tridactylus. Its description in RNAcentral is "tRNA-Gln". It matches the Rfam family "tRNA". Rfam says of the family: Transfer RNA (tRNA) molecules are approximately 80 nucleotides in length. Their secondary structure includes four short double-helical elements and three loops (D, anti-codon, and T loops). Lineage: Eukaryota; Metazoa; Chordata; Lepidosauria; Squamata; Bipedidae. The record is from RNAcentral.
UAGUAAAUAGUAUAGAGGUAGUACGUGGGGUUUUGGACCCCAAAGGAUGGGUUCGAUGCCUGUUUUUCUAG